RNAcentral lists this transfer RNA (75 nucleotides) under Candidatus Kaiserbacteria bacterium RIFCSPHIGHO2_01_FULL_58_22. RNAcentral's name for it is "tRNA-Arg". It matches the Rfam family "tRNA". Rfam says of the family: Transfer RNA (tRNA) molecules are approximately 80 nucleotides in length. Their secondary structure includes four short double-helical elements and three loops (D, anti-codon, and T loops). RNAcentral also lists the same sequence under 2 other names. Lineage: Bacteria; Candidatus Kaiseribacteriota. The record is from RNAcentral.
GCCCCCGUAGUUCAAAAGAUAGAACCGCCGCGUCCUAAGCGGUUAAUGUGGGUGCAAUUCCUGCCGGGGGCACUA